This 253-nucleotide ribosomal RNA is filed under the name uncultured bacterium. RNAcentral's name for it is "partial 16S ribosomal RNA". It matches the Rfam family "Bacterial small subunit ribosomal RNA", at positions 524 to 776 of the family's 1533-position model. The record is from RNAcentral.
UACAGAGGGGGCAAGCGUUAUUCGGAAUUAUUGGGCGUAAAGGGCGCGUAGGCGGCGAUUCAAGUGACGGGUGAAAUCCCUCGGCUUAACCGAGGAACUGCCUGUCAGACUGGAUUGCUUGAGGCCGGGAGAGGCGAGCGGAAUUCCCAGUGUAGCGGUGAAAUGCGUAGAUAUUGGGAGGAACACCAGUGGCGAAGGCGGCUCGCUGGACCGGUUCUGACGCUGAGGCGCGAAAGCCAGGGGAGCAAACGGG